UGCUUAGUACGGCGAGUGAGCGGCAAAAGCUCAAAUUUGAAAUCUGGUACCUUCGGUGCCCGAGUUGUAAUUUGGAGAGGGCAACUUUGGGGCCGUUCCUUGUCUAUGUUCCUUGGAACAGGACGUCAUAGAGGGUGAGAAUCCCGUGUGGCGAGGAGUGCGGUUCUUUGUAAAGUGCCUUCGAAGAGUCGAGUUGUUUGGGAAUGCAGCUCUAAGUGGGUGGUAAAUUCCAUCUAAAGCUAAAUAUUGGCGAGAGACCGAUAGCGAACAAGUACAGUGAUGGAAAGAUGAAAAGAACUUUGAAAAGAGAGUGAAAAAGUACGUGAAAUUGUUGAAAGGGAAGGGCAUUUGAUCAGACAUGGUGUUUUGUGCCCUCUGCUCCUUGUGGGUAGGGGAAUCUCGCAUUUCACUGGGCCAGCAUCAGUUUUGGUGGCAGGAUAAAUCCAUAGGAAUGUAGCUUGCCUCGGUAAGUAUUAUAGCCUGUGGGAAUACUGCCAGCUGGGACUGAGGACUGCGACGUAAGUCAAGGAUGCUGGCAUAAUGGUUAUAUGCCGCCCGUCUGAAAAACCGGGACCAAAAAAACCC
RNAcentral lists this ribosomal RNA (585 nucleotides) under Saccharomyces cerevisiae (brewer's yeast). Its description in RNAcentral is "partial large subunit ribosomal RNA". It matches the Rfam family "Eukaryotic large subunit ribosomal RNA", at positions 76 to 664 of the family's 3401-position model. Lineage: Eukaryota; Fungi; Ascomycota; Saccharomycetes; Saccharomycetales; Saccharomycetaceae. The record is from RNAcentral.